UGGGGACAGGUGCACGAACGACAACUCCAAACGUCACACAUCCACCGCCUACUUACCGUUUAGGUGGCACCAGCGAGAUCCAGCUAAGGACAAGGAUUGUUCAUGGAACUACUAUCGAGAUUCUUCGGACCAUCUUUCCUAGUAUCAUCUCGAUGUUCAUUGCUAUACAAUCAUUUGCUCUCUUAUACUCAAUGGACGAGGUAGUAGUAGAUCCAGCCAUUACUAUCAAAGCUAUUGGACAUCAAUGGUAUCAGACUUAUGAGUAUUCUGACUAUAACAGUUCCGAUGAGAAGUCACUCACUUUUGACAGUUAUAUGAUUCUAGAAGAAGAUCUAGAAUUGGGUCAAUCACGUUUAUUAGAAGUGGACAAUAGAGUGGUUGUACCAGCCAAAACUCAUCUACGUAUUAUUGUAACAUCUGCUGAUGUACCUCAUAGUUGGGCUGUACCUUCCUCAGGUGUCAAAUGUGAUGUUGUACCUGGUCGUUUAAAUCAAAUCUCUAUUUUGGUACAACGAGAAGGAGUUUACUAUGGCCAGUGCAGUGAGAUUUGUGGAAAUAAUCAUGCCUUUACGCGUGCGCCCGGAAACAUAGGCCGACUGUUGAGCCACUCUGGCUCAGCCGCACCACCCGGGGUGCAAGCCACCCGAGAAGCAAGCUAUUACAGCGAGCGGCUGGAGCUGUAGGGAGCCGAGGAGCAAGGCAGUAGAUAAGAUAGAAGAAAGGGCCAGGCACCCGGUGGAGCAGAGGGGACAGUUAGGAUAACGAACUUGAAAUGCGAAGCCCGAGCGGCUGGCGAGCGAGUGGUUAGUAGCCAAUAGCGCCCUAGUUGAUGGCAUUCCUCUCUGCGGCUGGCACUCGAGGAACCACAGGGCACUCCAUACAGAGCAAGCAAGUCUUAGGGAUGAGACGCCCGCGCAAGGACCUCAAUUCUCAUUAGGAGGUCGAACCAAGGACCUAUGGAAGUCGGGGCUACCCCGUCCCCAUGGGCAAUAGUGUCUUGAGGGAGGAGUUUAAAGGGCUUAUAUUAGCAUGGACUUAUUGAUCUUUCUAGGUCAUGCGAAGGGGGCCAGUCCAAGAUCGUAUUGUUCCUCUACAAAGAUAAUAGACGCUCUCAACGGCUAGGCGCCACUCUCUUUCUGAGUUAUUCCAACUUCUUCAUGAUUUCGAUUUCGUGCCGCGGUGAACAAACAAAAAAAGAGGGCCGUCUCAGCGGAAGGAGAAGGACCUGCAACGGCAGAGACUACUGACUCUCUUCUUGUUCUUAGCCGUCUAUUACGAGUCCGGGAAGCCUGAAAUCAUAAAUAUGAGGGAUCCAGAAGGGUGGGCAGGGCUUCCGCAAGGUUUUUUUAUCCCCUCUUCCCGGGAUGAGAAAGGAGUCCUAUCAAGUAAAGGCCAUAACCAGCCUCUUUUUUUAUGUACACCUUUCUUUGUUUCAGGCUCUUCAAGACCUUCCUCCUGCUAAUCCGGCCAUUACCAAACCUGUCUUUCCCACCCUUCUCAAUUCUUGCGAUUCCUAGCCAGCCCCCUUAGCUUAUUUUGCUUUAUAAAACCACUUUCCCCUUUUUUCAGCUUGCUGCUCGCUUUCUCGCUUCUGAGAGGUACUGACGUGACUCGACUGAAAGGAGAGGCGAAAGGAGCUAUGUGAUUGAAAUUCGAGUUUAUAGGGGUGAAUGAGUGCAUUUUUACCAAAAAUAUAAAACUAAUUUAAAUAAAUCAAAUAAAUUAUUAUUUUGAAAGUCAACCAAUUUACAUACAUCAUAUUGUAUGUGAUGUAGAUGAUGAAGGUAUUUUCGUCUUUACUAAAUAUUUUCAAAGACAAUUCAAAAUUAUGAUAAUCCAUCCUUUGACAUAAUUUUUUUAUUUUCUUUGGUAUGGAGUGUAAUUUCUCAGACACCUCUAAAUCAUCUAGAGACUCUGCUCUUUGUAGCUAAAGUCUCCCAUAUCAUAAACCCUAAAUCUAAGUCGCCAAAACUGGUGAUCGAUUCUUCUCCAGCAAUUUGAUUCACCUUCUAGUUCGUAACGAGAAUCAUUGUUGCUUCCUUCACAUUUGGUGGUUUACUGAGAAGGGUUUAUAACUCAGAGAAGCUGUUGAUAUUAGCACAGAGGGAAGUUUUCAGAGGAAAACGGGAAAAAUGUUAGUGAAAUCGUCGUUUGUGUCAGUGAUUGCUCUCUCUAUUCGUUGGCUUUGAUGAUUGAAUGAUUUUACCUGGACUGUGUUUCACUGAUUUGGUCUGAGGUAACUGAAAUCGUUAAUGCACACAACCUGUUCGACUUGUGCUUAAUAUACAUGGGGGAAAAUAAGACUUGUGCUUUCUUAUAAUCUUUUGAAGAGCAACCCGUCCAAAGAGCUACAUUUCUAGAACCAAGGGCUGGGAAGACUUCCCACAAGGCUUUGAGCAACAUUUGGUUUAUGUAACUUAAAGUGUUGUGUCUUUGAAAGUUUAUGCAUUGAUGUCUUUGUGCAUGUCUUUAUGUUUUUGUUUAUUGAUGUCUUUAUGUUCAAGUGUUUUUGUGUAUUGAUGUCUUUAUGUUCAUGUUUAUGUCUUUGUUUAACUCUUUCUUUAUGUCUUUAUGUAUGUGAAUCUCCUCCUCUAAACAUGUUUAUGUUCAUGUUUAUGACUUUUGUUUCCCAAGGUACAAAGCAAAUGCUGUUUCUUCUUGCUUUUUCCUUUGUUUGGAAACGAAGUAACAUAUCCGUUUCACGUAUUCAUGUAGGGAGGAUGGGAUAAUGAUGACUCAGUCAGGGAGGCUGCAGUGAGUGGAAGGCAUCUUCAACACGCUGAGAAAACAGGACAAGAAGAGGACAAGUCAUUGGCAAGUUGAAGCUAAUGGAGACCACAUAUUUCUACUUUGCUUGUACACCACAUUAGUUUUGUGUCAAUAAUUCGACACUCGCUUUGGGAUUUCUAUAUAUUUCACUCUUGUUCUCACAAACUAAUGCAACAAUCGUUUACAAUUCAACUCUUCUUCUUUAUACCCCAAGUGAUUUACCAAAGACUUUUGUUCUUCAUACUACAAAACAAUCUUUUCUACUUUUCUAAAUUCUUGUUCUUUUUACCACAAAACAAUCUUUUCUAAACUCUUGUUCUUUAUCAAAAUCUCGUCGAUAUGAUGGUCCACUAGAAAUCGACUUCGUGAUCGAGCUAUGCAUCAACAAUUGAAUAAGGAUUUGGUCGAACAUAUAUGGACAAAAUAUUUCAGAAAUUAAGUUUAAAACAUUUGUGCUUUAUGUUAUUUAUGUUAUAAAAAUUGUAUCUCAUGUUUUAAUUUUUUUAAUUUGCAACAAUUAUUAAAUUUUCUAUAAUUAUAAAUUUUUUUUUAUAUUAAUAUUUAUUUUUCUAAGAACCACAUGUUAAGAGCUUACCAUUAAUCACACAAAAAUCUUAACUCAAAAAUACUAUCUCUUAACAAUCACUUUUACAAAUAAAUUACUUCAAUAUUGCUAAGAUUAAUUUCUAAGAGACCACCUAUAAUCAUGCUCUUACACAUCGAAUCCAAUUCAAUAUCGUCACUUCAAUUUUACGAUGAGACAAUGUUUACUUCAAAGACAAUAAGAUUUCAAGUGAAAAGACGAAGACAAGUUUAAUAUAAAAACCUUUUUUUAUUGAUGACGAUGAAACUCCAAACUUUAUGAGAUUGAAAUUCGAGUUUAUAGGGGUGAAUGAUUGCAUUUUUACCAAAAAUAUAAAACCAAUUUAAAGAAAUCAAAUAAAUUAUUAUUUUGAAAGUCAACCAAUUUACAUACAUCAUAUUGUAUGUGAUGUAGAUGAUGAAGGUAUUUUCGUCUUUACUAAAUAUUUUCAAAGACAAUUCAAAAUUAUGAUAAUCCUGUUGUGAAACUUAUUGUUCUCUCUCAUUCCAUUCCAUGAAUAAUGAUACAUAUAUGUAGGCAUAUAAACCUAGGGUUUUAGGGUACAUAAUGAAUAACCCUGAUGGGCUUAUUGGACCCGGUUAUAAGUCCAAUAUGAUGUAUUAUAACACUCCCCCUUGGACGGAGUAACCGGACCUGAUGGUCAAUCGGGAUCUCGAUAAUACGCUGGGGAAUGUUGCCUCAUUAAAACCUUACCAGGAAAACCCAGUGGGAAAAACCAUGGUGAAGGAAAAAGAGUACAACACGCAUUACUCCCCCUGAUUAGAGCAUCACCGUAGAUCUCUAAGUCUACGCAUUCCUAUUUGUUGGAUGAGCUUCCGGAGUGUUGAAGCGGGCAAUGAUUUGGUAAAAAGGUCGGCGGAGUUAUCGCAUGAUCGGACCUGUUGAACGCUGAUCGUACCAUCCUUCUGCCAAUCCGAGGUUGAGAAGAAUUUCGGUAGGAUGUGCUUCGUCCGAUCUCCUUUGAUAUAACCUUCCUUGAGUUGAGCAAUGCAAGCCGCGUUGUCUUCAAACAUAACCGUGGGCUCCUUAUCUUCUUUCAUACCACAAUCUGAUCGGAUGUGCUGAGUCAUGGAUCGUAGCCAAACACAUUCUCUGCUGGCUUCGUGAAUGGCCAAAAGUUCUGCAUGGUUUGAUGAAGUGGUAGUGAUUGUCUGCUUUAUCGAUCUCCAAGAGAUAGCUGUUCCUCCAUGCGUGAACACAUAACCAGUUUGAGACUUGGCAUUGUGCGGAUCUGAUUGAUAUCCUGCAUCAGCAAAACCAACUAGUCCAUCCUUGUUGUGGUUAGUGUAAAACAGUCCUAAGUCUUUAGUACCUUGAAGGUAUCUUAGGAGGUGUUUGAUACCAUUCCAGUGCCUCUGAGUUGGACAUGAGCUGAAGCGAGCUAGGAGGUUCACGGCAAAACAAAUGUCUGGUCUAGUGUGACUAGCCAAGUACAUUAACGCUCCUACAGCACUGAGGUAUGGCUUUUCUGGACCGAGAAUUUCUUCAUCGUCCUUCUUGGGACCAAAUGGAUCACUGUCCAAUCCUAGGCUCCGGACAACCAUUGGGCUGUUCAAUGGGUGGGCCUGGUCCAUAUUGAAUCGCUUGAGUACUUUUUCAAUGUAAGCCGCUUGAUGCACAAGGAUUCCUCCUUUAACGUACUCAAGUUGUAAACCCAAACAGAAUUUAGUUUUACCUAGGUCUUUCAUUUCGAAUUCUGCUUUCAAGCAGUCGAUUGUUUGGGAGAUUUCACCAGAUGUUCCGAGGAUGUUUAGAUCAUCCACGUAAACUGCUAUGAUUACAAAUCCUUUGUUUGAGUAUUUCUUGAUGAAAAUGCAUGGACUGAUGGGAUCGUUUUUGUAGCCUUCUCUGAUGAGAUAUUCGCUUAACCGGUUAUACCACAUACGUCCACUUUGUUUCAGUCCAUACAAGGAUUUGUUCAGCCUGAUGCAGUAUUGAUCUCGAGAUGCAUGCUUAUCUUUAAGCUCUAUGCCAUCUGGUAAUCUCAUGUAUAUUUCAUUGUCGAGGGGCCCAUAGAGAUAUGCGGUGACAACAUCCAUUAACCGCAAAUCUAGAUUUUCUCUUAUGGCCAGACUUAUGAGGAAUCGAAAAGUAGUUGCAUCCACCACCGGAGAAUAAGUCUCCUCAUAAUCGAUUCCGGGUCUCUGUGAGAAUCCUUGUGCUACAAGCCGUGCUUUAUAACGAACGACUUCACCGAGUUCGUUUCUUUUACGCACAAAGACCCAUUUAUGGCCCACUGGUUUGACAUUGAAUGGUGUCCGGAUGAUCGGACCAAACACAUUCCUGAGUUUGAGACUCUUUAACUCCACGUUUAUGGCUUCUUUCCAUUUUAGCCAGUCUGUUCUAUGAGUGCACUCUGUGAUAGACGUGGGUUCUAGAUCCUCUUGCGUGUUCGCAAUAUCAAGUGCUACUUUGUAUGCAAAGAGUGCAUUUAAGUCGACUUCUUUUCUGUUCCAUUGGGUUCCAGACAUGUUGUAAUUGAUAGAGAUCUCAUCGUUAUCGAUCUCGUCAGAACCUAGAGAUUCGGCGUCCCGAACCUCUUCUGGUGGUUCAUUAGAGUGAGUCUCAGCGCGCGCUAUGUCUGUUAUAUUGGGAAUCCCGGUUUCAACUAUUGCACCUUUCUUUGAUUUCCGUGGAUUCUUGUCUUUGGAACCUAGAGGUCUGCCACGUUUAUUUCGUGAUGCAGACUCUGUAGCAACUUGAACUUGUCCCGUUGGAACAGUGAUUCGUACUGGUGCAUUACAAGCUGGUAUGUACGAUUUGGUUACUUUGUUCGGGUCAGCAAAGGAAUCUGGCAAUUGAUUAGCUAGCUUUUGAUAGUGUAUAAUCUUUUGGAUCUCCGAAUCACAUUCUAGAGUCCGAGGAUCUUGCCAAUUUAAGGAUGUUUGAUUCCAUGAUAGCUCUUUGACCAGCUUAUGUUUCUCUCCACCCAAUGUUGGAUAUACCGAUUCAUCAAAUUGGCAAUCCGCAUAUCUGGCCUUAACUAGGUCUCCAGUGGUCGGCUCGAGAUAUUUGAUGAUGGUGGGAGAAUCAAAACCAACAUAUAUUCCCAUCCUCCUUUGAGGUCCCAUUUUGGUUCUAUGUGGUGGAGCAAUGGGUACAUAGACUGAGCACCCAAAUGUUUUGAGAUGGGAGAUGUCUGGCUCAUGACCCUGUAAUAAUUGGGAUGGGGAAUAUCUAUGCUCACUAGAUGGUCGGAUGCGUAUUAAUUCAGCAGCAUGUAAUACUGCAUGUCCCCAAGCUGAGACCGGGAGCUUCGACCUCAUGAGUAAUGGUCGAGCAAUCCAUUGGAUUCGUUUAAUGAAUGAUUCAGCAAGUCCAUUCUGAGUAUGGACAUGUGCCACAGGAUGUUCAACGGUCACCCCCAUGGCCAUACAGUAAUCAUUAAACGCUUGGGAAGUGAAUUCACCAGCAUUAUCAAGACGUAUAGUCUUUAGUGGGAAGUCUGGAAAGUGGGCUCGUAAUCUGAUGAUUUGAGCCAAAAACCUAGCAAAAGCUUGGUUCCGAGAAGACAAUAGGCAUACAUACAACCAACGGGUCGAAGCAUCUAUUAGUACCAUGAAGUACCGGAAUGUCCCAGAAGGUGGGUGAAUGGGACCACAGAUAUCUCCUUGGAUUCUUUCCAGAAAAUGCAAUGUCUCUUUGGACACUUUUACUGGUGAAGGCCGAGUGAUCAACUUCCCUUGGGAGCAAGCUGUGCACAUGAGGUGCUGAGGGAAGACUCGGUUUUCUCGAAGGGUGUGUCCUUGAGAACUUUGGAUUAAUUUACGCAUCAUGGUUGUACCGGGAUGACCAAGCCGGUCGUGCCAAAUAGUGUAGUCUUGGAACCGGGCUUUGAGAGCAUUAUUAGCCUCAAUCAUACUGACCUUGGCAUAGUAAAGGCCAGUAGAUAAAGCGGGUAUAGUCUCGAGGACUUGUUUAUGGCCAAGUGUGAUCUUAGUGAUCAGUAGGGAUUCUUUAUUCCCUUCACCCUGGGUUUCUAUGUGGAAACCAUUAAGUCUGAUAUCUUUAAAACUUAAAAGGUUUCUUUUUGAGUUGGGUGAGUAUAAUGCAUCUGGAAUGUCCAGAUGUGUGCCGUUUGAUAACAACACAUGUUCAGAUGAUAGAAUCAAUCGAGGAGAUCUGAGAUCUCGUAGUCCAUGGGAUCGGUCGGCUCGAUGGUGGUGUCGUUAGCAUCAACUUGCAGGGCCAUGUUAGCUUCAGCAGGUGCUUUCCCAUGUUUCUGAUAAAAAUCGCAAUGAAACUUGGGAAUACGACAGUUCUUUGUCCAGUGAUUGAACAUUCCGCAACUGGUGCAGGCAGACUGAUUGGUUGGGUGGGCAGGGCGGUUUGGUUUAGAGAUACCACGGCCCUUACCGGAACCAUAACCGAGGUUAUGUCGGUUGCCACGUCCAUUUCCGCGUCCACGCUUUCCACGUCCAUUCCCAUGUCCACGGCCACGAUUCUUUGCGGGAAUAUGGUACUGGAGCCGAUCCCGGGGGCCUCUGGGCACUGUUCCUCAUUAACAGCUCGUUGUUUUUCUCAGCCAAGAGCAAACAAGAUAACAAAUCUUCGUACAAUGUAUGUUUCAUUGCACGAUAUUGCUGCUGAAGCACAAUGUUUUGGGUAUGGAAGGUGGAUAAUGUUUUCUCGAGGAGAUCAUUAUCAGACACCUCUUCACCACAUAGUUUCAUGAUUGAAACUAUCCGAAAGAGUUCGGAGUUGUAGUCAUCCACAGAUUUGUAAUCUUGGAACCGGAGUUCCUUCCAGUCAAACUUGGCUUGUGGCAAGAGCACCGUUUUCUGGUGAUCAUACCGUUUUUUCAGGGCCACCCAAAGUUCGAGUGGGUUCUCAAGAGUGAGAUAUUGUUGUUUGAGGCUCGCGGCCAAAUGAUGGCGGAUAUGAAAUAUCGCCUGGGACCGGUCUUUAUCAGAGGCUUUGUUAUCCGCUUGGAUACACGCACCCAGUCCCUUUGAGUUGAGGAAAAUCCUGGUGUCCAGGGCCCAUUCGAGAUAGUUUUCACCGGAGACCUUGAGGGCCUCGAACAUGAAAUUGAUUUCAUUAGGGGUUUGUUAAAAUAAUAGUUGGAAAACUUUCUAUUUUAGGCAAGUUUCUAUUUGAGCAAACUUUAUAUUUGAGGAAUGUUUCUAAAUUGGGGAACUUUCUAAAUGAGGAAAAUUUCUAUUUUGAGGAAACUUUCUAUUUUAGGCAAGUUUCUAUUUGAGGAAACUUUAUAUUUGAGGAAAGUUUCUAAUUUGGGAAACUUUCUAAAUGAGGAAAGUUUUCUUUUCGGGUCAUUUGUUAUUUGAGGAAAGUUUCUAUUUUAGGAAACCUUCUAAAUGAGGAAAGUUUCUAUUUGAGGGAAACUUUCUAAAUGAGGAAAGUUUCUAUUUGAGGAAAACUUUCUAAAUGAGGAAAGUUUCUAUUCCGGGUCAUUUGCUAUUUGAGGAAAGUUUCUAUUUUAGGAAACCUUCUAAAUGAGGAAAGUUUCUAUUUGAGGGAAACUUUCUAAAUGAGGAAAGUUUCUAUUUGAGGAAACCUUCUAAAUGAGGAAAGUUUCUAAUUUGGGAAACUUUCUAAAUGAGGAAAGUUUUCAUUCCGGGUCAUUUGCUAUUUGAGGAAAGUUUCUAUUUUAGGAAACCUUCUAAAUGAGGAAAGUUUCUAUUUGAGGAAACCUCCUAAAUGAUGAAAGUUACUAAUUUGGGAAACUUUCUAAAUGAGGAAAGUUUUCUUUCCGGGUCAUUUGUUAUUUGAGGAAGGUUUCUAUUUUAGGAAACUUUCUCGGGAAUCGUAAAUUUUAAAGGAUACGGAACAUAAGUUCGGUUUAAUGGUUUAAAGUUGGACCGGAAUAUUAGAUUCCGGUUUGGGCCGAAUUGAUUUCCGGUUUAGAAUAACCAGUUUGAACCGGUUUACCCAGAUUGAGAUCCGGUUAUUAUUUUCGGGACCGGUUUGAUAAUCGGUUUAACCGAUGAACCGAAUUGAUAUUCGGGUUUAGGGGUUAACUAAGAAUGAUUUCCGGUUUAGGGGAUACACAAAUUAGGGUUUUCGUUUCUUUUUGAGGAAAACGAUUUGAAUUUUGCGGUUUUCAAACGCAAAAUCGUUAGGGUUUCGGAUUUGAUUUGAUUUAGGUUUUAAGGUUUCAGCCAUGGCUAAGUAAUCAUAAGUUUAUGAUUAUCAGCAGCUAAUUUGAGUGUUAGGUUUAAGCAAUACAAGGUUUUUUUUUUUUUUUUUGAUCUUUAAGCUUUUAAGGUUUUGUUUUUACCUUUCACCAAUUGGGGUUGAACGGAUUGAACCGGGAACUUAAUACCUCGGUAACUCACGCUGUCGAUGAACAGUACCGAUGAACAGUAUCGGCGUGAACAGUAUCGGCGAACAGUGUCGAUGAACAGUAUCGAUGAACAGUGUCGAUGAACAGUGUCGGCGUGAACAGUGUUUUGCGAUUUUUAGGGUUAGGGUUGUUAAGAGCAAAAUCGUGCUGAUAACGUGUUGUAAAACUUAUUGUUCUCUCUCAUUCCAUUCCAUGAAUAAUGAUACAUAUAUGUAGGCAUAUAAACCUAGGGUUUUAGGGUACAUAAUGAAUAACCCUGAUGGGCUUAUUGGGCCCGGUUAUAAGUCCAAUAUGAUGUAUUAUAACAAAUCCAUCCUUUGACAUAAUUUUUUUAUUUUCUUUGGUAUGGAGUGUAAUUUCUCAGACACCUCUAAAUCAUCUAGAGACUCUGCUCUUUGUAGCUAAAGUCUCCCAUAUCAUAAACCCUAAAUCUAAGUCGCCAAAACUGGUGAUCGAUUCUUCUCCAGCAAUUUGAUUCACCUUCUAGUUCGUAACGAGAAUCAUUGUUGAUUCCUUCACAUUUGGUGGUUUACUGAGAAGGGUCUAUAACUCAGAGAAGCUGUUGAUAUUAGCACAGAGGGAAGUUUUCAGAGGAAAACGGGGAAAAUGUUAGUGAAAUCGUCGUUUGUGUCAGUGAUUGCUCUCUCUAUUCGUUGGCUUUGAUGAUCGAAUGAUUUUACCUGGUCUGUGUUUCACUGAUUUGGUCUGAGGUAACUGAAAUCGUUAAUGCACACAACCUGUUCGACGUAAUGCGUAGCUGAGAUUCUCUAGCAAAAGGUUUAUUCUUUACUAUUGUUUAGUAAUGGGUAGCAAAAUGAUGAUGUUCAAGUGGUCUAAGAAUAUCACGCCUUCACAAGUUAUCAAACUGAUGCGAGCUGAAAAAGACGUGGAGAAGUCAAUUGCGGUUUUUGAUUCCGCAACGGCAGAAUACGCAAAUGGGUACUUACAUGAUCAGAGUUCUUUUGGUUAUAUGGUGUCGAGGUUGGUCUCUGCUAAUAAGUUCAAAGCAGCUGAAGAUAUUGUUGCAAGAAUGAAGAUUGAGAAUUGUGUUGUUAGUGAAGAUAUUUUGCUUUCUAUAUGUAGAGGGUAUGGUCGGGUUCAUAGGCCGUUUGAUUCUUUAAGGGUUUUUCACAAGAUGAAGGAUUUUGAUUGUGAUCCUAGCCAGAAGGCUUAUGUCACUGUUCUUGCUAUUCUCGUGGAAGAGAAUCAGUUAAAUUUGGCCUUUAAGUUUUACAAGAAUAUGAGAGAGAUUGGUUUGCCUCCUACCGUGGCAUCUCUCAAUGUUUUGAUCAAAGCUCUUUGCAGAAAUGACGGGACAGUGGAUGCUGGUCUUAAGAUUUUUCAUGAAAUGCCUAAACGAGGGUGUGAUCCGGAUUCUUACACAUAUGGAACCUUGAUUAGUGGUUUGUGUCGGUUCGGAAGGAUAGAUGAGGCGAAGAAGUUGUUUACGGAGAUGGUUGAAAAGGACUGUGCACCAACUGUUGUUACAUAUACUUCUCUGAUUAACGGUUUGUGUGGAUCGAAAAAUGUUGAUGAAGCAAUGAGAUAUGUUGAAGAGAUGAAAGGUAAAGGCAUCGAGCCGAAUGUUUUCACGUACAGUUCUUUGAUGGACGGUCUUUGCAAAGAUGGUCGUUCUUUGCAAGCCAUGGAGUUAUUUGAGAUGAUGAUGGCUAGAGGCUGCAGGCCAAACAUGGUAACGUAUACCACUUUGAUCACUGGUCUCUGUAAGGAGCAGAAGAUUCAAGAAGCCGUUGAACUUCUCGAUAGAAUGAAUCUUCAGGGUUUAAAACCUGAUGCUGGAUUAUAUGGGAAAGUAAUCAGUGGGUUUUGUGCUGUCAGUAAGUUUCGCGAAGCUGCCAAUUUCCUCGACGAGAUGAUUCUAGGAGGAAUUACUCCAAAUCGUUUAACUUGGAACAUCCAUGUUAAGACAAGUAAUGAAGUAGUCCGAGGUCUUUGUACAAACUAUCCAAGUCGUGCAUUUACUCUAUAUCUAAGCAUGAGGAGUAGAGGCAUCUCGGUUGAGGUUGAAACACUAGACUCUUUGGUGAAGUGUUUGUGCAAAAAGGGUGAAUUCCAGAAAGCUGUUCAAUUAGUUGACGAGAUAGUGACUGACGGAUGUAUUCCAAAUAAAGGAACAUGGAAGCUACUUAUAGGUCACACGUUGGAUAACACAAUUGUAGGAGAAGCUUCAGAUUCUCUUCUCAGAGAUUUGGAUAUCUAAGUUAGUGCAAGGAAGAUUAGAAUAAGACAGCUGAAGCAAACAUAUCGCGUGGAACAACAUACACAAACAUUGAGAUAUUCUAUUCAAAAGACCAUCUCAGAAGAAUGGUAAAGCACAAGAUACAACAGAGAAUUUCAGAGAUUCCAAAGGGGUUAAGAAGAUUUUUACAUUUUGAUUCAGAACAUCAUUUAGCAGAGAGGGGAAAACCAAUACCGUGGCGUGUAGUAGGAAACGUAGCGAACACCAUACUGCAGAAGACUCCUACGGCUACGGGCAAAGUUGUGAGAAGGUCUGCUACUUCAGCUGAUGGUUCAGGAAAGAAACAUUUAACCGCAUUCUGAUCAAACAAAACCACGGCUCCAAAAACCAGAAAUGACAUAAUGGCAUGUACGAAGUCUAUAAACCGUACUUUGUAGCUUUUGGAACGUUCUUGAGGAAGAGUAGCUGAGCCAUCAAUUAUCCAAAAACCAUGGAUUGUUGCAAAUCCAUAGCAGACAUUUCCAUUCAAGUCCUUGUAAGAAUCUGUGAAGCUAAGUAUGAAACAAGAGAACCCACAGAUGGAAACUAGCAAUGCAGUCAUGACUCUGCUAGCUAGAUCGCAUUGCCCAGCAUUUGUGCAAAUUGGCGAUAAGAUCUGGAACGCAAGAACUGUCCCCGUUGGUAAAAGAUUAGCUAGAUUAGCUGUGGUCUGAAAAGUCUUACCUAUUGCCUUUUGCAUCAUAGUGUUCCUUUCUAUGUCAGGAAAGUCCCGAUUUCGAUUUCGAUCAUCCAGGAGUGGAACAGUUUCUUCUUUGAUCCGGCGAGCGCCGAUGGUCCCAGCUUCUUCAUCAACCUUAAUCUCCAUAACACUCAAGAUUCAAAUCUCUUUUUCCAUGUGCUUUGUUGUUUUGACCAAAUGCUUGUGUUUUAAUGUAACUUUGGCUGCUUACUUUGUUAUGUAUUGCAAGCAAGUCUGAAACCAAACCUAAGUCAUUUGUUUAUGUGAAGGAUAAGCUUUUGACCUUGUCUACUAAAGGAUUGUUUUUAAAUAUUUUGAUUCCAUGAUUGGAAUUAUUCAAUGGUUUGGGAAAUGUGAUUCUGAUUUUGAAUUCCCAUGAACAUUUUUUAUUGAAAGUGAGAAUGAUGUUUAUGUUUUAAUCUAAAUCAAAAUGUCUUUAAAGCCUUUGGAUAAAUGUUAGUAGUUCCUGCGUGGAGGCCAAGUAAGAUUAUAAACUAUAUACGUAGUCAUUUGCUAAAACAUAGUAAUAUAUUACACGUUGACAAAGCACUUGUUUGUAAUUAAAUGAUUAGUUCUAUUAUUAAAUGUUAACUAACGUCAAAAUCAGUUUAGGUGUACGCAUUCUUGGGUGAGUCAUGCGAUUAGACUUGCACGUUACAUUUUUUCAUUAUGAAUGUCAAAAGAGACAUGACUGGAUAAAAUGGAAAGAUGCAAUACAAGUCGAACUUGAUUCGCUCAAUAAGCGAAAUGUAUUCGGACCUAUUGUACUCACACCUGAAGAUGUGAGACCGGUUGGAUACAAAUGGGUUUUCGUUAGAAAACGAAAUGAGGAAAAUGAAAUUACGAGAUACAAGGCUCGUCUCGUAGCUCAAGGAUUUUCUCAAAGACCCGGGAUUGAUUAUGAGGAAACAUAUUCCCCCGUUAUGGAUGCUAUAACAUUUAGAUUUCUGAUGAGUCUAGCAGCUGGCAAAAAUCUAGAGAUGCGUCUCAUGGAUGUCGUUACAACAUAUUUAUAUGGAUCAUUGGAUACAGAUAUCUAUAUGAGAGUUCCCGAUGGGUUUAAUAUGCCAAAAGCAUUAAAAUCUAAACCCAAAGAGUUGUGUGCAAUAAAGUUGCAGAGAGCAUUAUAUGGGUUAAAGCAAUCUGGACGAAUGUGGUAUAAUCGUCUCAGUGAGCAUUUAACGAAAGAAGGAUAUGUGAAUGAUCCUAUAUGCCCAUGUGUUUUCAUAAAGAAAACAAAUUCCGGAUUUGUGAUAAUCGCGGUAUAUGUUGAUGAUCUAAAUAUAAUCGGGACUCAAGCAGAAAUACAGAAAGCAACAAACUAUUUAAAAGGGGAAUUUGAGAUGAAAGAUCUCGGACAAACAAAAUUUUGUCUUGGCCUACAAAUUGAACAUACUCAAAAAGGUAUAUUUGUUCAUCAAUCCACAUACACCAAAAGAGUGUUAAAACGUUUAAAUAUGGAUAAGGCAACUCCUCUCAGUACUCCAAUGGUCGUUAGAUCACUUAAUGUUGAGAGUGAUCCAUUCAGACCACCUGAGGAGAAUGAAGAGAUACUCGGUCCUGAAGUACCGUAUCUAAGUGCAAUUGGAGCCCUUAUGUAUCUUGCAAAUUGCACUCGACCUGAUAUAUCUUUUUCAGUCAAUCUUUUGGCUAGAUUUAGUUCAUCCCCUACACGAAGACAUUGGAAUGGGGUUAAACAUGUCUUUCGUUAUCUUCAAGGGACUAUUGAUUUAGGGUUAUUUUAUCCUAAAAAUAUAAAUGGUCAAAUGAUUGGUUUUGCAGAUGCAGGCUAUUUAUCAGACCCACACAAAGCUCGAUCACAAACAGGAUACGUGUUCACGAUUGGUGGUACUGCUAUAUCAUGGCGUUCUCAGAAGCAGACGCUUGUAGCUACUUCUUCAAAUCAUGCUGAAAUCAUCGCACUCCAUGAAGCGAGUAGAGAAUGGGUAUGGCUACGAUCGAUAAGUCAACACAUUCAAACAAGUAGUGGAAUUCGUCUAAAAACGGAGCCAACUAUCUUGUAUGAAGACAAUGCUGCAUGUGUUGCUCAGACAAAGGAAGGAUUUAUCAAAAGCGAUAGAACCAAACAUAUCCCUCCGAAGUUCUUUUCAUACACCCAAGAGCUCGUGAAGAAUAAAGACAUUGAAGUAAGAUAUAUCCAAUCAUCCAAGAAUUCUGCGGAUCUCUUCACAAAAUCAUUGCCCACCUCUAUGUUCAGAAAACAUGUUCAUAACAUUGGAAUGAUUCGUCAACAAGACUUGUAAGUUAUGAUCUUGAUCAUUCGAGGGGGAGCUUGCGCGGUUGCACUCUUUUUACCUACUAUGGUUUUUCCCACCGGGUUUUCCUAGAAAGGUUUUUAACGAGGCAACAUGAAGCACAUCGCAAAGACAUGAAUGACAAAUGAACUCCAAGGGGGAGUGUUACAAAAAUCAAACUCUUGAAUAUUGAAUGGAGCUCAUAAGUCAUUCAAUCACUACCAUAAAGUAAUGGAAUAGUUUGGUGUAGUGGAAUGGUUUGGAGUAGUAGAAUAGUUUGGAGUAGUGGAAUAGUUUGGUGAAAUUAUUUGGUACUAUAAAUAUGCUCUUCCACUCCAUUGUAAGAGACACCAUUGAUUCACUUAACAAAGAAAUGUAUAGUUUCUUCCCACAUUAUUACUCUUUCUCCCUUAUAUUUCUAUCUCUUUAAAUAAUUUUAUUAUUAUACCAUUUUCAACAUAAAUGAUCGAUAGAAAAUUUACGAUACAUUAUUUUUCUUAAUUAUAACAAUUUCAAAAUUUUAACGAUAAUUAACGAAGUGUCGCUGACAAAGAAACGAAAGGUCUUGGAAAAGAUUUGGGAUUGUGUUUCCCAAGGAUAUGUUUUGGAGCAUUUUGAUAUGCGAACUAAAAAGCCCAUACAAAGAAUCCUUAACAAGAAGCCCAACGAUUUUGAAUGAUUUGGAUUCUAUAGGUUUUAAAUGAGUUAGUUUUAGACUCUCUUUAAAUGAUUUCUUUGAUCUUGCAAGAAAACUACUUUUUAAAAAACAUGUUUCAACUCCAUUGUGAAUCCAACUUUUUUUUAGAUGAGUCUGGAUUCGACCCAAAUAUUUUUGGUUCAGAUUAUCUGAUUUGUAUAAGUUCAUGUUAAUUACAUUAUAUGGAUCAUUUGGUUAUAGAAUGGGAUAUAGACUCGAAUAGCCAUUUGAUUAACUGAAAAAACAAAAUACUCAAUUUUUUCUAAAAGAACUUAACCAGUAUCCAACAUUUAUCUGAUUUAGUGAGAGUCUAAACAGUAAUUUUAGGUACAUAUGAACUAUAUCGUACUUUGUUGGAUAUGUUUUAUACACAUGAAUUACCACUACUAUAAUGUUAAUUACUUGCUAUUCUCAGUCAUGAUACCCAAAAUACACAGUCCUAAUAAAAAAAAAUAUUACAAACUCAGUUUUUCCACAAUAUCUGUUUUAUGUGAUCAACAAUAUGUGUUAUGCGGAUUUGGAUUUGCAUAACAGUUAGUUAGGCAACAAAGUUUUGGUGGUUCUUUUACAAUAUUUUUACUAUCAUCUUUUAAAGGUUUAUAUAUAGGGUGAAUGAAAUAUAUAUACCUGGAAGAAGA
Molecule: long non-coding RNA, 16209 nt
Filed under: Arabidopsis lyrata
Lineage: Eukaryota; Viridiplantae; Streptophyta; Magnoliopsida; Brassicales; Brassicaceae
Description: long non-coding RNA (ALYR_LNC000378)
Source: RNAcentral